CCGCGGCUCACGUGACGCCGCGGGCGCCGCGAAGGCUCGCAGGAGGCUCGGCCCCGGGCGCGCGCCCCAUUGGCCCGCGUCGCGCGUCACGCGCCCCGCCCCGCCCCCAGCCCCGCCCCGGCCGCGCGGCGCACUGCUGCCGCCCGCGCGCUCCCGGUCCGGGAGCCACCAGCCCCGCGCGGCCCGCGGUCCCCAGCCACUUCCCCUCCCCCCAGCACGGCCGUGGGUUUGCGGAGUCCGCGGGAGACGCUUCUGAAGCGCGGUCCCCAGGUUUGUUGGAGGAGCAAAUACAGUACUAGAUGGGAAGAGGCGUUGGAGAAGUAGAGAGACUGGGAAGAGGCAGUUAUCAGCCCUGGGCAAUGCUGCAAAAUGGGAACCCUGGCACACAGCCCCCAGGGCAGCAGGAUGAUGGCAGUGCUGAAGAUCAAUAAGCUCUACCAGGGCAGCAAGGAGCUCCACCUGGGGAGGAGGGAGCAGCGUUGCUGAGAAGCAUGUGUCCAGGCCCCCUUGGAGAGGAGGCAUUCCAGGGCGUGCUCAGCCAGAAGAUGCAAGAAAGCCUAUGAAACAGUGGCCACGUUGUCGAUGGAACCAAGGAUGUGGAUUCUCUGUCCCCUUACAGAUUCAAGCCCAAGCCUCUUGGACUGACAUCCAGGCCAUUCAUUUGAAUAAUUCUUUUAAAAAAUAACACCUGUGCAUUGUUACAGUGUUCAAGCACCACAGAAAGGCAUGAAAUAAAAAGGAAAAUUCCACUUGG
Long non-coding RNA from Mirounga angustirostris (Northern elephant seal), 754 nucleotides. RefSeq lists it as uncharacterized. Lineage: Eukaryota; Metazoa; Chordata; Mammalia; Carnivora; Phocidae. The transcript is spliced from 2 exons. The record is from RefSeq and is a predicted model, not a curated record.